GAGUAAUGUCUGGGAAACUGCCUGAUGGAGGGGGAUAACUACUGGAAACGGUGGCUAAUACCGCAUAACGUCGCAAGACCAAAGAGGGGGACCUUCGGGCCUCUUGCCAUCAGAUGUGCCCAGAUGGGAUUAGCUUGUUGGUGAGGUAACGGCUCACCAAGGCGACGAUCCCUAGCUGGUCUGAGAGGAUGACCAGCCACACUGGAACUGAGACACGGUCCAGACUCCUACGGGAGGCAGCAGUGGGGAAUAUUGCACAAUGGGCGCAAGCCUGAUGCAGCCAUGCCGCGUGUAUGAAGAAGGCCUUCGGGUUGUAAAGUACUUUCAGCGGGGAGGAAGGUGUUGUGGUUAAUAACCGCAGCAAUUGACGUUACCCGCAGAAGAAGCACCGGCUAACUCCGUGCCAGCAGCCGCGGUAAUACGGAGGGUGCAAGCGUUAAUCGGAAUUACUGGGCGUAAAGCGCACGCAGGCGGUCUGUCAAGUCGGAUGUGAAAUCCCCGGGCUCAACCUGGGAACUGCAUUCGAAACUGGCAGGCUUGAGUCUUGUAGAGGGGGGUAGAAUUCCAGGUGUAGCGGUGAAAUGCGUAGAGAUCUGGAGGAAUACCGGUGGCGAAGGCGGCCCCCUGGACAAAGACUGACGCUCAGGUGCGAAAGCGUGGGGAGCAAACAGGAUUAGAUACCCUGGUAGUCCACGCCGUAAACGAUGUCUACUUGGAGGUUGUGCCCUUGAGGCGUGGCUUCCGGAGCUAACGCGUUAAGUAGACCGCCUGGGGAGUACGGCCGCAAGGUUAAAACUCAAAUGAAUUGACGGGGGCCCGCACAAGCGGUGGAGCAUGUGGUUUAAUUCGAUGCAACGCGAAGAACCUUACCUGGUCUUGACAUCCACAGAAGAAUCCAGAGAUGGAUUUGUGCCUUCGGGAACUGUGAGACAGGUGCUGCAUGGCUGUCGUCAGCUCGUGUUGUGAAAUGUUGGGUUAAGUCCCGCAACGAGCGCAACC
RNAcentral lists this ribosomal RNA (999 nucleotides) under Salmonella enterica. RNAcentral's name for it is "bacterial SSU rRNA". It matches the Rfam family "Bacterial small subunit ribosomal RNA", at positions 108 to 1103 of the family's 1533-position model. Lineage: Bacteria; Pseudomonadati; Pseudomonadota; Gammaproteobacteria; Enterobacterales; Enterobacteriaceae. The record is from RNAcentral.